CAUGCAAGUCGAACGGAAAGGCCCUUCGGGGUGCUCGAGUGGCGAACGGGUGAGUAACACGUGGGUGAUCUGCCCUGCACUUUGGGAUAAGCCUGGGAAACUGGGUCUAAUACCGAAUAGGACUCCGGACUGCAUGGUCUGGGGUGGAAAGCUUUUGCGGUGUGGGAUGGGCCCGCGGCCUAUCAGCUUGUUGGUGGGGUGAUGGCCUACCAAGGCGACGACGGGUAGCCGGCCUGAGAGGGUGACCGGCCACACUGGGACUGAGAUACGGCCCAGACUCCUACGGGAGGCAGCAGUGGGGAAUAUUGCACAAUGGGCGCAAGCCUGAUGCAGCGACGCCGCGUGGGGGAUGACGGCCUUCGGGUUGUAAACCUCUUUCAGCACAGACGAAGCGUAAGUGACGGUAUGUGCAGAAGAAGCACCGGCCAACUACGUACCAGCAGCCGCGGUAAUACGUAGGGUGCGAGCGUUGUCCGGAAUUACUGGGCGUAAAGAGCUCGUAGGUGAUUUGUCGCGUUGUUCGUGAAAACUCACA
Molecule: ribosomal RNA, 535 nt
Filed under: uncultured Mycobacterium sp.
Lineage: Bacteria; Bacillati; Actinomycetota; Actinomycetes; Mycobacteriales; Mycobacteriaceae
Description: bacterial SSU rRNA
Rfam family: Bacterial small subunit ribosomal RNA
Source: RNAcentral